UCCUAGAGAUAGGACUUUCCCUUCGGGGACAAAAUGACAGGUGGUGCAUGGUUGUCGUCAGCUCGUGUCGUGAGAUGUUGGGUUAAGUCCCGCAACGAGCGCAACCCUUAUUGUUAGUUGCCAGCAUUAAGUUGGGCACUCUAGCAAGACUGCCGGUGACAAACCGGAGGAAGGUGGGGAUGACGUCAAAUCAUCAUGCCCCUUAUGACCUGGGCUACACACGUGCUACAAUGGACGGUACAACGAGUCGCAAGACCGCGAGGUUUAGCAAAUCUCUUAAAGCCGUUCUCAGUUCGGAUUGUAGGCUGCAACUCGCCUACAUGAAGUCGGAAUCGCUAGUAAUCGCGGAUCAGCAUGCCGCGGUGAAUACGUUCCCGGGCCUUGUACACACCGCCCGUCACACCAUGAGAGUUUGUAACACCCAAAGCCGGUGGGGUAACCUUUUGGAGCCAGCCGUCUAAGGUGGGAUAGAUGAUUAGGGUGAAGUCGUAACAAGGUAGCCGUAGGAGAACCUGCGGC
RNAcentral lists this ribosomal RNA (519 nucleotides) under uncultured bacterium. Its description in RNAcentral is "bacterial SSU rRNA". It matches the Rfam family "Bacterial small subunit ribosomal RNA", at positions 998 to 1518 of the family's 1533-position model. The record is from RNAcentral.